This 164-nucleotide ribosomal RNA is filed under the name uncultured bacterium. RNAcentral's name for it is "partial 16S rRNA". It matches the Rfam family "Bacterial small subunit ribosomal RNA", at positions 355 to 511 of the family's 1533-position model. The record is from RNAcentral.
UAGGGAAUCUUCCACAAUGGACGCAAGUCUGAUGGAGCAACGCCGCGAGAGUGAAGAAGGGUUUCGGCUCGUAAAGCUCUGUUGUUAAAGAAGAACACGUAUGAGAGUAACUGUUCAUACGUUGACGGUAUUUAACCAGAAAGUCACGGCUAACUACGUGCCAG